This 499-nucleotide ribosomal RNA is filed under the name uncultured bacterium. RNAcentral describes it as "partial 16S ribosomal RNA". It matches the Rfam family "Bacterial small subunit ribosomal RNA", at positions 28 to 507 of the family's 1533-position model. The record is from RNAcentral.
GACGAACGCUGGCGGCGUGCCUAAUACAUGCAAGUCGAGCGAAGUUUUUCUGGUGCUUGCACUAGAAAAACUUAGCGGCGAACGGGUGAGUAACACGUAAAGAACCUGCCUCAUAGACUGGGACAACUAUUGGAAACGAUAGCUAAUACCGGAUAACAGUAUUUCUCGCAUGAGAGAUAUUUAAAAGUUGGUUAUGCUAACACUAUGAGAUGGCUUUGCGGUGCAUUAGCUAGUUGGUGGGGUAAAGGCCCACCAAGGCGACGAUGCAUAGCCGACCUGAGAGGUUGAUCGGCCACACUGGGACUGAGACGCGGCCCAGACUCCUACGGGAGGCAGCAGUAGGGAAUCUUCCGCAAUGGGCGAAAGCCUGACGGAGCAACGCCGCGUGAGUGAAGAAGGAUUUCGGUUCGUAAAGCUCUGUUGUUAGGGAAGAAUGGAUAUGUAGUAACUAUACAUGUAAGAGACGGUACCUAACCAGAAAGCCACGGCUAACUACGUG